RNAcentral lists this small RNA (88 nucleotides) under Salmonella enterica subsp. enterica serovar Oranienburg. RNAcentral's name for it is "partial RtT sRNA". It matches the Rfam family "RtT RNA", at positions 1 to 86 of the family's 130-position model. Rfam says of the family: This family represents a bacterial cis-regulatory element known as RtT RNA. The exact function of RtT is unknown although it is thought that it may be involved in changing the cellular response in relation to amino acid starvation. Lineage: Bacteria; Pseudomonadati; Pseudomonadota; Gammaproteobacteria; Enterobacterales; Enterobacteriaceae. RNAcentral also lists the same sequence under 1 other name. The record is from RNAcentral.
AUAUCUCUCUGUACGGGAAGGAUGAGAAGCUUCGACUAAGGUUCGAUUCGAGCGAAAGCGAGAAAGCGUUGCCGCAGGCAACGACCCG